GACGAACGCUGGCGGCGUGCCUAAUACAUGCAAGUCGAGCGAAGUUUUUCUGGUGCUUGCACUAGAAAAACUUAGCGGCGAACGGGUGAGUCACACGUAAAGAACCUGCCUCAUAGACUGGGACAACUAUUGGAAACGAUAGCUAAUACCGGAUUACAGUAUUUCUCGCAUGUGAGAUAUUUAAAAGUUGGUUGUGCUAACACUAUGAUAUGGCUUUGCGGUGCAUUAGCUAGUUGGUGGGGUAAAGGCCCACCAAGGCGACGAUGCAUAGCCGACCUGAGAGGGUGAUCGGCCACACUGGGACUGAGACACGGCCCAGACUCCUACGGGAGGCAGCAGUAGGGAAUCUUCCGCAAUGGGCGAAAGCCUGACGGAGCAACGCCGCGUGAGUGAAGAAGGAUUUCGGUUCGUAAAGCUCUGUUGUUAGGGAAGAAUGGAUAUGUAGUAACUAUACAUGUAAGAGACGGUACCUAACCAGAAAGCCACGGCUAACUACGUG
Molecule: ribosomal RNA, 499 nt
Filed under: uncultured bacterium
Lineage: Bacteria
Description: partial 16S ribosomal RNA
Rfam family: Bacterial small subunit ribosomal RNA
Source: RNAcentral